Molecule: ribosomal RNA, 438 nt
Filed under: uncultured bacterium
Lineage: Bacteria
Description: partial 16S ribosomal RNA
Rfam family: Bacterial small subunit ribosomal RNA
Source: RNAcentral
CUACGGAGGCUGUAGUGGGGAAUAUUGCACAAUGGAGGAAACUCUGAUGCAGCAACGCCGCGUGGAGGAUGACACUUUUCGGAGCGUAAACUCCUUUUAUAUAGGAAGAAGAUGACGGUACUAUAUGAAUAAGCGCCGGCUAACUCCGUGCCAGCAGCCGCGGUAAUACGGAGGGCGCAAGCGUUACUCGGAAUCACUGGGCGUAAAGAGCGUGUAGGCGGAUUAAAAAGUCAGAAGUGAAAUCCUAUAGCUUAACUAUAGAACUGCUUCUGAAACUCUUAAUCUAGAAUAUGGGAGAGGUAGAUGGAAUUUCUGGUGUAGGGGUAAAAUCCGUAGAGAUCAGAAGGAAUACCGAUUGCGAAGGCGAUCUACUAGAACAUUAUUGACGCUGAGACGCGAAAGCGUGGGGAGCAAACAGGAUUAGAUACCCCAGUAGUC